AUGCAGUCGAGCGCGGGAAGCGAGUGGAUCCCUUCGGGGUGAAGCUCGUGGAACGAGCGGCGGACGGGUGAGUAACACGUGGGCAACCUGCCUGUAAGAUCGGAAUAACCCCGGGAAACCGGGGCUAAUGCCGGGUAAUACUUUUCUUCGCAUGAAGAUGAGUUGAAAGAUGGCUUCUCGCUAUCACUUACAGAUGGGCCCGCGGCGCAUUAGCUAGUUGGUGAGGUAACGGCUCACCAAGGCAACGAUGCGUAGCCGACCUGAGAGGGUGAUCGGCCACACUGGGACUGAGACACGGCCCAGACUCCUACGGGAGGCAGCAGUAGGGAAUCUUCCGCAAUGGACGAAAGUCUGACGGAGCAACGCCGCGUGAACGAUGAAGGUCUUCGGAUCGUAAAGUUCUGUUGUCAGGGAAGAACAAGUACCGUGCGAAUAGAGCGGUACCUUGACGGUACCUGACGAGGAAGCCCCGGCUAACUACGUGCCAGCAGCCGCGGUAAUACGUAGGGGGCAAGCGUUGUCCGGAAUUAUUGGGCGUAAAGCGCGCGCAGGCGGUUCCUUAAGUCUGAUGUGAAAGCCCACGGCUCAACCGUGGAGGGUCAUUGGAAACUGGGGAACUUGAGGACAGAAGAGGAGAGUGGAAUUCCACGUGUAGCGGUGAAAUGCGUAGAUAUGUGGAGGAACACCAGUGGCGAAGGCGACUCUCUGGUCUGUUUCUGACGCUGAGGUGCGAAAGCGUGGGUAGCAAACAGGAUUAGAUACCCUGGUAGUCCACGCCGUAAACGAUGAGUGCUAGGUGUUAGGGGGCUUCCACCCCUUAGUGCUGAAGUUAACGCAUUAAGCACUCCGCCUG
Molecule: ribosomal RNA, 853 nt
Filed under: Halobacillus kuroshimensis
Lineage: Bacteria; Bacillati; Bacillota; Bacilli; Caryophanales; Bacillaceae
Description: bacterial SSU rRNA
Rfam family: Bacterial small subunit ribosomal RNA
Source: RNAcentral